UUUUUAUUGAGACCAAUUUGGCCUGGGGAGAACCGCCUUCAGGCGUUUGGACUCAGUGGAGGUUGUGAGUGCCCAGCAGUGUGGCCUGAAUCUCCGUGGGGUUUAGGGAGACGAAAGGACCCCAGAUCGACGUCCCCUCGUUCCCACUUUGGGGAUCGGCGCUCUGGCUGUUUCGUGAAGGAGAGAGAGAUUGAUACUGGAAAAGCAGUUUCUAUUGAGCCCCCAAAUGAAGAGUGAGUGCAGAUGAAGAGGAGGCAGGACUCACAAGCCCUUGAACUUUAUUCCAGAUCUGUUAGCACCUACAGGACCCUGCACCAGGAUUUCAUCUGUACUAUCAGCUUCUUCAAAGAGAGAGAGGUUGUUGAAUUGAUAUUGGAAAAGCAGUUUCCCAUUGAGUCUCAAAUGAAGAGAGUGCAGAUGAAGAGGAGGUAGGAGUCACAAGCCCUUGACCCUCAUGCUAGACCCAUUACCACCCACAGGACCUUGCAGUGGGAUUUCAUCUGCACCAUCAGCUUCUUCAGAGAGAGAGGUUGUUGACUCUUCAUGUGGAUGUCUGAGCUCAUAUCAGGUGUCUGAAAGAGGCAGAUUCUGAGGAUUUGGGUCAUGAUGGCUGCCAAAGCUUCUACUCCUGACUUAAAGGGCAACAAUCCUAGGAGACCACCAGCACUUACAUCCCUGGUAGGACAUGACACCUGCUUAUGGCUCAGAAGUGACAAAAGAGAAUUAUCAGGAUGGCAGUCCUUAUAACCAGAUGCUUAUCAACAUUCUUCACUACAUUCUGAAGAUGAAUUUCUACAAGGGAAAUUGUUUAUGGAGGCAGCAGAUGGCUGAAAUUCUGAUCCGAUGUGGCUGGUUAAUGCAUGAUCUGAAAACCCCUGCACUGGUGAUUUUGGGACAGAUCUAGAAUAUACCAAUAAAUAUAUUAACAUACCAAGUAGUCUAGGAGCAGCCACUGGGCGAACACCAAACCUUGCAUCCCUGCUGCUGUCUCUGAGCUCAGCAGACACGUCUUUGCAGAAGAGUUCUAUAAUGGUGGUACAAUGGUGCCCCCUCGUGACAGAAGCUUGAACUACAGCUUGAACAUCGAGAUGAAAAUAUACUGUCUACGUUGUUCAACACAAUAGCUAAUGGCAACUGUGGCAGUUGAACACCCGAAACGUGAUGAAUGUGACUGAGGAACUGAACUUUUAGUUUCAUUGUGACAUGAUGAAUGAAUUUAUUGAGCCCCAGGAAGAAGGAAAAUUAAAGAAGAGCAAAGAAUAAUAGCUGGACAGAAGAUGGGGGUCAUUGAACCUAUAUCCUAGUUGCCAGACCAGUAAACUGACCAUGGGACCUGGGGGAGGCAGCAGAUGACCGAAAACCUGGAGUGAUGUGGCUGAAUACCGCAUGAUCUGAAGACUGCACUGGUGGCUGCGGUAUGGGUCCAAAUUUUUCCUUAACAAAAACAAAAAAAGAGCCCAAAACCAUACUGACUAGUCCAGGAAUAGCCAUUAGGCAAACAACUUUUUGCUACCCUGGUGUUACCGAUUUCUGAACUCAACAGGUGAAUUCAAAGAUAUGCCUGUCUUUCCAGCAUGGGGAGCUGGAUUUGGGUCAGCUCAGGCGCAUGAUGUUGAACAGCUCUUAUGAGCUUCUGAUAGUGCCCAGGAAGUACAGAAACAACUGUCUACAAAUCUUUGAACUCAAGGCAUAUCACAGGGACAUUUGCUUUCUUCAACUAGAUAUCUGUUUUCUCAUAAAGAGAAACAAUGAGAAAUGGUUUUUCACAAUGCCUCGUUAGCCCUGAGGCUCAGCCAUCCCCUAGUGCUGUGUCCCAACAUUUAAAGGCCGUUGAAGUCCCACUCUAUGCCAUAUACUCUGUACAGGUUUUCUCAUUUACCCCUCAGGACAGCACUGUAAGGAUGGUGUGGUCAGUCCCAUUUCAUAGAUGACCAAACUCAGGCUUUCAGAGCCUAAGUCACUUCUCCAGAUAGGUGGUAGGAUUGAAAUGAGGUUCCAUCCCUCAUCAUCCAUAGACAGCCCUGAGUAGCCUCCCUUUUAGAAGAUGGGCUUCCAGGGCUUGAGAAAUGGUCAGAUUCCACCCCCCUGCUAUUGUGGACCAAUGCGUCCUCACUCCACAACCCCUCUGGGUGAUGAAGAAGAUAGAGAAGAUUAAAUCCCACCAUUUAUGCCAAGAGACCUGGGUGUAGGGCCACAUGAGUUGGUUGCUUCUCGAAGUGGUGAGUGGGCUCAGGCAGAAGCUCAAGUGUUGGCCUUGGGACAGGUGAGCUGGAGAGAAGGAAAGUAACAUACACUAAACUACUGUAAGAAAAUGCACUUUAUAUUUCAUCUCCUUUAAUCUUAACUGCUAUUCAAGGUACCUAUCACUUUGACAAUUAUUCAAAUCAGGGUACUUUAGGAAAGUUUAUGUAAAGCAGGGAAUAAACUCUUUUCUCUCCAGUUCAGCAGCUAACUCUAGAAUUACUUUUAAGUAUUUUUAAGUAUUUUUCCAUUUUUUUCUUGAUAUCUCCAGGACUCUCAAUGCUUGAAUUUUUCUCAAGGCCGACAGUACACACGCCCUAAGGUGUUCUUCACUAGUAUUUCUUUUUAAAUUACAAUCUAUAUAUAUCUUAUUCAUAUUAUUGAAGUUGAAAACACAUUCUAAAUGAAAAUAACACUAAGAAUGUCUGUAAAAUAACGGGGAAACAUUUUCAAACUACAUCUCAGAUGUUGGAUUAGUAUCCAUAAUUUAUAGGGCAAACUCAGUAACAAAACAGUUGGCAACUAAUUUUGACAUAGAAUUCCAAUAGAUAUAGACAUGAACAAGGAACUUGUUGAUUAUGCUAAAACUAUAAGAACUAAUAAGAUGCUAAUAUAAAUCCUCAGAAGAAUAUUAAGUGGAAAAGACAGCUUGCAAAAGGAGAUGAUUAAUGUGGUUGCACUUUUUGGCAAAGAUUACGUGCAUAUGUAGGUGAACAUGGUCAUGUGCACCUCAUCCACAGAAACAUGUCUGGAAAGUGUGCACCAUUCUAUGGACAACAGACCUUUUGGGUCAGGAGGUAGGAGUUGAGCUACUGAGAGGUGAAGAUUAAUUACAAUUCAUAUAUGUGCUUUUGUAUAUUGUCUGAAAUUUGGUAUUCAGGAAUAAAAAUAUUUUGAUGAAUAUUUAGACACAACAUAACAUACAUUUGCACAGAUUGACAAAAGUAAUGUGUAUUAUGUUCAUUAAUUUGAAAUAGCUAUUACUGUAUUCUAUUUAAUGGUGAAGGAAGUAGUUAAGUAGAAGGACACAAAACAAGUCUCAACAAAUUUAAAAAAUCAAAAUCAUAUCAAGUAUGUUCUCAGACAAAAAUGUAAUAAAAGUAGAAAUCAAUAACAAGAGGAACCUGGGAAACUGUACAAAUAUGUGGAAAAUAAACAAACAGCAUGCUCCAGAAUGACCACUGAGUCAAGAAAAAAAAUAUGGAGGAUAUCAAAAAGUUAUUUGAAACAAAUGAAAAUGGAAACACAACAUACCAAAAUCUAUGGGAUACAGCAAAAGCAGUGCUUAGAGAAAAAUUUGUAGCAAUAGAUGCCUACAUCAAAAAAGUAAAAAGAUUCCAAAUAACCAAUCUAACUGUUCACCUCAAGGAACUAAAAAAGGAAAAACCAAAUCCCAAAUGAGUAGAAGGAAGGAAACAGUAAAGGUCAGAGCCAAACUAAACAAAAUAGAAACUAAAAAUAUACAAAAUUUUAAUGAAACAAAAAGUUAGAUUUCUGAAAAGAUAAAAAAUUGAUAAACCAUCAGCUAGACUAACCAAGAAAAAAAA
This 3788-nucleotide long non-coding RNA is filed under the name Homo sapiens (human). Its description in RNAcentral is "long independently transcribed non-coding RNA 630, transcript variant 5 (LINC00630)". The record is from RNAcentral. Lineage: Eukaryota; Metazoa; Chordata; Mammalia; Primates; Hominidae.